RNAcentral lists this ribosomal RNA (253 nucleotides) under uncultured bacterium. RNAcentral describes it as "partial 16S ribosomal RNA". It matches the Rfam family "Bacterial small subunit ribosomal RNA", at positions 524 to 776 of the family's 1533-position model. The record is from RNAcentral.
GACGAACCGUGCGAACGUUGUUCGGAAUUACUGGGCUUAAAGGGCGCGUAGGCGGCGAGGCAAGUCGGUUGUGAAAUCUCUCGGCUUAACCGGAGAAUUGCAUUCAAUACUGUCUGUCUUGAGGGAGGAAGGGGCAGAUGGAACUCCCGGUGGAGCGGUGAAAUGCGUUGAUAUCGGAAGGAACGCCGGUGGCGAAAGCGAUCUGCUGGGCCUCUUCUGACGCUGAGGCGCGAAAGCUAAGGUAGCAAACGGG